Molecule: transfer RNA, 95 nt
Filed under: Rhizoctonia solani
Lineage: Eukaryota; Fungi; Basidiomycota; Agaricomycetes; Cantharellales; Ceratobasidiaceae
Rfam family: tRNA
About the family: Transfer RNA (tRNA) molecules are approximately 80 nucleotides in length. Their secondary structure includes four short double-helical elements and three loops (D, anti-codon, and T loops). Further hydrogen bonds mediate the characteristic L-shaped molecular structure. tRNAs have two regions of fundamental functional importance: the anti-codon, which is responsible for specific mRNA codon recognition, and the 3' end, to which the tRNAs corresponding amino acid is attached (by aminoacyl-tRNA synthetases). tRNAs cope with the degeneracy of the genetic code in two manners: having more than one tRNA (with a specific anti-codon) for a particular amino acid; and 'wobble' base-pairing, i.e. permitting non-standard base-pairing at the 3rd anti-codon position.
Source: Rfam by way of RNAcentral
GGCCGCUUGGUCUAGUAGUAUGAUUCCUGUUUUGGGAUAUUACAUAAGCAUUCCUGAGCUACAGGAGGUCGUGGGUUCAAUUCCCACAGCGGCCC